This 115-nucleotide ribosomal RNA is filed under the name Sinocyclocheilus anshuiensis. The record is from RNAcentral. Lineage: Eukaryota; Metazoa; Chordata; Actinopteri; Cypriniformes; Cyprinidae.
UGCCACAACCAUCACCAUGUAGCCCAAGACUGGUUGCCCACUGAAGCUAAGCAGGGUUGAGCCUGGUCAGUACCUGGAUGGGAGACCUCCUGGGAAAACUAGGUUGCUGCUGGAA